UCCACUAAUUAUUAUAUAUAAAAUUAAAUAUUAAGUUUGGUUCUGGUUCUAGUUUUUGAACUAGAACUGAACUUGAACCAAAACCAAAUGGUUCUCGGUUCAAAGAACCAAAAUCAUUAAUUUUUUUGAUAGAACCGAACCGAACCGCUUGGUUUGGACUGGUUUGGACAUUUUAUCCACCCCCAAGUUUAGGUGAAAUUCUUAAGAAUAAAUGCAGAUCUCAACAAAUGAGAAGUUUCUUGCCAAUUUCAAGGAGAAAAACAUUAGAAGAUAGCUCUAUCACAUAUAAAGAGAGAACUAUGAGAAAUGUUGCAGAGACAAUUGGUAUGAUUCAUAGUUAUGCUUGUGCAAUUUAGUUUUGGUAAAUCCCAUGCCUUAUUGGGAGCUUGUUAAUAUAGCCAUAGUUCUCUACAACGGCAUCAGUCCUCAUGGUCCAACAAUAUCAGGAAAAGGUAUCUACAGAUUCGACUAUAGAGACACUAGAUGAGACACCAAAUAGACGUAGGAUCCAUUGACAGAAUCCUUUUUCAAAUUUUAGAAAUAGUUUAUUGUUGAAAAUAGAACUUAAAUCAUUGUUUCCAGAGUCUAAGUUUAAUUAUGUUCUUGUAAGCAUCUAAUAAUAACUUGGGAUAUCUUGAUUUUUCCUUCUCAGAAUAUUCUAUUACUCAUUAUCUUUUAUCUACCUAAUUCAUCUACAUAUCAAAUUGGAGAUUUCAUAACUCAAUAUGUAUCUAUAUAGUUAUUGUUGUUAUUAUAUUGCUUAACUGCCCAUUCUUCCCAUUCAUCAUUUGGUUUCGCUGAAAAGAUGGUUCUUACUCUCUUCAACUUCAGUUAUGCUGUGUAGUAUAAGAUGAGAUGAACUGUGCGAAUUCCACACUCCUAAGUAAGCAGAUAGUUUCACCUAGAUUAUCAAGUGCUCAACGUUUCAAUUGUUGCCUUUUUUUUUCCG
RNAcentral lists this long non-coding RNA (949 nucleotides) under Olea europaea subsp. europaea. Lineage: Eukaryota; Viridiplantae; Streptophyta; Magnoliopsida; Lamiales; Oleaceae. The record is from RNAcentral.